GAAUGCAUCGCAAACCUAGUGGCUGGCCGCGUGUUGUCGACGUCGGCUGUGCACAUGCAGUCUUAUUUCGGACACAGAUUGAGUCACGUGCAUUCAUCGCGACCAGUUUUGUUUCUUCCUAUAAUAAUCUUUUAUUUUGGUUUAUAUUCAAUAAACAAUUGAUGGCAUAUGCCGGAAUCGCGCGGUUAACCAUGUUUUGCAAGUGCACGCGUUAAAUCAAUCAAUCGCGGUGUAAUAGACGGUUCACUAGUGCGAGUGUUUUGUCGGCCGUCGGUGAUUGCUCUUCGCCUGGGGAAUUAUACUGAAAUCCAUUUUCAGAAUAGGACCUGUCGAUCCUCAAUUAGCAAAUACAACAGUACCGGCGUUAGGACAUUGGGUGACCGCCCAGGGCCGCUGGACUUUAAGGGACGCCGACUCGCACUUGGCUGGUUUUUUCGUAUGGGUUUGAAUUGCAUUUAGGUGGCGCCGUAGAAUUCUCGCCCUUGGCGCUGGUAUUGCUAAAACCGGCACUGACUUACUUUCUUUAAUUACCUGAUGCACUAAAAAAGUGAUCAGUGAAAUAAGUAAACACUCUAAAAAUAAGUAGGAAUAAACGUCACAUGGUCGUUGUAAAGCAAGUGUUGAAAUAUUAUUGCGUUCCGUCGGCUCCGUAUUCGUUCCCACUAGAUACCGUUUUUCGUGCUUGAUUGUUGUUUUUUUGAGAAGAGCCUAAUUUAGUAUUUCUUUAAAAGAUUUUUAAUAAAAUCAUAAUUAUUAGUAAUUAAAUUGUUUAUUAUAAUCUACACCUAUCAGCUCUUCCAGAUAAACAAUAGGAAACAGGUAAUAAAACAUGCACUUUUGUUUUUUUUUUUUAUUUGUGAUACAUAUAAAUUUUUGUCGUAAUAUAUAUAAAUUUUCCUUAUUGCCCAGUGAUAAAUUGGCAAUCUUUGGGAUUUUGGUGUGAUUUUAAAUUAAAAAUUUUCUUUCGACAACAUCCUGUAGGGAAAUUUUCCUUUAUGCCCAGCCACCAAUUGGCAAUAUUUAUUGUUUUGGAGCCAUUUUCAUUUUAAAAUUGAUGAUUUUCUUUUGAUAACAUCCUGUAUAUAAUUUUCUAUUGAUGUCACGUGAAAACAGGGUGCAAUUCGCUACUUUCUAGUGUUAUUUUUUGUAAUUUGGUAGCCGCUUGCAUAUGGCAGCUAUGCAGGGCAUAAACAUGUUUUAAAAUGACGUCAUAUGUUUAUUUGUUUCCAUUUUCAAUCACCUGAAAAAUUGGCUAUUUGCUAAUUUCAUUAACCCGGUAGAACUUUGCAAAGUAGUUCUUACUUGUAUGUGCGCGGCUAUGCGGGUCGUAAGUCCAGUUUCAAUAUGGCGUCACGUAUUCUGUUGACUUGUGAAAUCUAAAGUUGUAUUAUUUUACAUUGUAUUUAUUAAUAAAGAAAUGUUAAGAAA
This is a long non-coding RNA of Dalotia coriaria, 1428 nucleotides long. RefSeq lists it as uncharacterized. Lineage: Eukaryota; Metazoa; Arthropoda; Insecta; Coleoptera; Staphylinidae. The transcript is spliced from 2 exons. The record is from RefSeq and is a predicted model, not a curated record.